UUCCCCGAGCGCCCUCCCCUCGCCAUCUUGCUCCUCCCGCGUCGCUCGCGCCCGCUCCCGCCCGCUCGCGCUGACACCGCCACUCCGCCCCUCCCUCGCGCGCAGAGCAGGGAGCCCCCGCGACACAGCUAGCGGCCAGGCUGUUCGCCCCUACCUCACGCGCCGGGCAGGGAGAGCUGGCCAAGCCACCGGCGGCCAGCCCGUCCGUCCCUCGCUCGCACCGCAGAGCGGCCAAGCCGCCGUUGGCCGGCCCGUCCGCCCCUCCCUCGCCCGUCGUCUUUCUCCUGCGCGGGCGGCGUGGCUCCUAGCGGUCUGGGUCGCUUGCUUUGCUCUCGAUUCAUGGCCUUGCUCCGAGCUAUUUUUAACUAAUCAAUUUUAGGUCUGAUACGAAUAGAAUUGGUUGGGCUCGAGCUCAAAUCGAUCUGUGCGCACGGUUCUUGGGGAAAGAUCGAGUUUAAAGUACCUUGCAUAGUUUAGUUCGAGUUCAUGAUCUGUUACCCAUCUGCUUCCUCCGUCCUCUUCUAAUCGCACGGCGGCUCCAGCAGGCGGCGCUGCCCUACGCGCGCGACGACGGGAUCGAGCAGGAAAAAAAUCGUCAAGAAAGGAACGGAUGUGGACCCAUUAUGAAUAUGGAGAGUCCGAUUUGAAGAGGCUGUUGGGUUUUCAACUAUUUUAGAAGUUUUAUAUUUGUUUAGAGAGCUCCUAAAAUUUUAAAUUUGGUUAGAAUUAUAGCUAGUCUCUUGGAGUUGCUCUUACCUGGUUGUAUUUGGCCAGGCGCUCGGAACGGCAGGGGGCUCCUGUCUUGAUUUGAUCCUGAAACCAAUACAUGGAGAGGAUGUUGCGAGUGAAGAUAUUCAGAAGUAUCUGAUGUGUGUUACUAGGCUAGUUGACAACAGUACCAUAGCCAGGCCAACAGAGAGGUCAGCAAUGAAGGUGUCCUCUGUCUCACCACUGAACAGAGGAGAUCAGAUAACAUGGAUGGAUAUCAAACAGGUGUUCCGAAGAAUCUGGAGGUGCGUGCAGGUUUGGAGGGCGAUGUUCAAACAGAGCAUGGUGCGAGAAGUGGACCGCUGGUGCAGCUACUUGGAGGCUCUGAUCGCGACACCCCUUUGGCGAUAAUGCCUUCGUGAAGAAGAUCAAGCAUGGAGAGUUCGAUUGGAGCUGGCUGGGGAACUGAGGCUCUUGUUUGUUGAGCCUCCAUGGAUGUUGCUCUGUUUUUUUCCCCUUUGAACUACGUUGCUGUUAUUUGGGGAUUCUCGGUCUGUUUGGGGCUGAACUUGCUGUAGGCAAGAUUCAGGUUUUCCCCUUUGCUUUCUAUGUAAAACCUGAUCUGAACAUGUCUCAUGUUGCUUCAUUUCAAUGGAAUGGGGCAGGGCGUUUUUGCCUGUCUGUCUAAAAAGAAAAUGAU
Molecule: long non-coding RNA, 1408 nt
Organism: Panicum virgatum (switchgrass)
Lineage: Eukaryota; Viridiplantae; Streptophyta; Magnoliopsida; Poales; Poaceae
Exons: 2
Source: RefSeq, a predicted model, not a curated record